Molecule: ribosomal RNA, 442 nt
Filed under: uncultured bacterium
Lineage: Bacteria
Description: partial 16S ribosomal RNA
Rfam family: Bacterial small subunit ribosomal RNA
Source: RNAcentral
CCUACGGGAGGCAGCAGUGGGGAAUAUUUGGCAAUGGGCGCAAGCCUGACCCAGCAACGCCGCGUGAAGGAAGAAGGCUUUCGGGUUGUAAACUUCUUUUGACAGGGAAGAGUAGAAGACUGUGUCUGUCGAAUAAGCCACGGCUAACUACGUGCCAACAGCCGCGGUAAUACGUAGGUGGCAAGCGUUGUCCGGAUUUACUGGGUGUAAAGGGCGUGUAGCCGGGUUGACAAGUCAGAUGUGAAAGCCUGCGGCUUAACCGCGGAACUGCAUUUGAAACUGUUGAUCUUGAGUACUGGAGAGGCAGACGGAAUUCCUGGUGUAGCGGUGAAAUGCGUAGAUAUUAGGAGGAACACCAGUGGCGAAGGCGGUCUGCUGGACAGAAACUGACGGUGAGGCGCGAAAGCGUGGGGAGCAAACAGGAUUAGAUACCCGAGUAGUC